Molecule: transfer RNA, 64 nt
Filed under: Semidalis aleyrodiformis
Lineage: Eukaryota; Metazoa; Arthropoda; Insecta; Neuroptera; Coniopterygidae
Description: tRNA-Tyr
Source: RNAcentral
GAUAAGAUGUCUGAAUUAUAAGUAAUAAACUGUAAAUUUAUUCAUGGGUAAAUCCCUCUUAUUA